This 429-nucleotide long non-coding RNA is filed under the name Gopherus agassizii (Agassiz's desert tortoise). RNAcentral's name for it is "lncRNA (ENSGAGG00000025766.1)". Lineage: Eukaryota; Metazoa; Chordata; Testudines; Testudinidae. The record is from RNAcentral.
ACCUAAUUUUUGGGGGGAUUCUAGUGUUUAAAUAUUUCUAAAAUAAUUACCUCUGGGCCAGAUCCUCUGCUCUUCUUUGUCCUAUUUCUGCAACUCCUGUGUUAACUUAAGGCAGCAGGCUCCUACCUCAGCCUGGAAACAGAAGUUAAGACCCUUGUCUUUUCCUACCUGCAUGCUAGCCAAGCCGUUCCAGGGUACUCCUUUUCUGAGUGAUGAGUUGAGGAAGAGGAGAGCAGGUAUGUUGGAAAGACACUGUCAUGUACUCACUUUUGCGUCCACAUCUGUAACAAAUAUGGCAGCAUCCUGGCUUUGCUGACAGUGGAUCUACCCAACUGAGAAGCUGGAAUUAAGUGUUUCAACCAGACUGUUCCUGUUCCUGUUUCAGUUCUUACACCACCUGCAUCAUCGUAUUAGUUGGGCACCUUUCAG